GCUUGUCUCAAAGCUUAAGCCAUGCAAGUGUAAGUUCACGCCACGCAUUAGAACGGGCGAAACCGCGAAUGGCUCAGGAACCGGACCUAAUCCUCGGGACCGUAAUCCUCCUCGGAGGCGAUGGAUAACUGUGGCAAUUCUAGAGCUAAUACAUGUGACACAGGCCGCGAUCGGCCGUCGCGCCGUGGUCGUCUCGCCUUCAUUGCGCGCAGGCACCCGCGACGGCCGUCUUGGGUCGCGGCGCUACAUAUUAGACUGAGACCGAUGCGCGAUUUCCGCCCUCCCUUCGGCYCGGGUUCCCUCGCGGGUUCUCGGCGUCGUCGGGGCCAAAGGUGCGGCGCGCUCCGCUUUGGUGACUCUGGAUAACUCACUGGUCGAUCGCACGGGCUUCCACGCCCGGCGACGGGUCCCCCGAGGGUCCGCCCUAUCAACUGUCGACGGUCGGUUAAGUGCCUACCGUGGUUACUACGGGUAACGGGGAAUCGGGGUUCGAUUCCGGAGAGGGAGCAUGCGAAACGGCUACCACAUCCAAGGAAGGCAGCAGGCGCGCAAAUUACCCACUCCCGGCACGGGGAGGUAGUGACGAAAAAUAACGACGCGGGACUCUGUCGAGGCCCCGCGAUCGGAAUGAGUACACUUCAAAUCCGUUAACGAGGACCAACCGGAGGGCAAGUCUGGUGCCAGCAGCCGCGGUAAUUCCAGCUCCGGUAGCGUAUAUUAAAGUUGUUGCGGUUAAAAAGCUCGUAGUCCGAACUCGGGUUCGUGGUCGCUCACGCGGCCCCGGGGCGGCGGCGCCAUCGUCCAUCGUUGACUUUGGUCGUCCGUUCGCAUUCCCGGCCCUUUCCGCCGGUGUCAAUCGCUGUAUAGACGGCCGCGGGACAGCUGGUGGCAGGCGUGACUCUCCGGUUCAAUCGCUUGUUGUUGYCGGUGCGCGCGUGACGAAAGUGCGGGUCCUCGUGGCCCAAACGGCAGUCCGUGUGCUCCCGGNGGCGGCGAGUCUGUUCCGGGGAUCCGGGCUCUCGGGCCCCCUGUCGCUACGCCCUCGCGUCGCCGUCGGUGAUUUCUCCUCCAAGGGUGCUCUUAACCGAGUGUCCGCGGCGGCCGGUACGUUCACUUUGAAAAAAUUAGAGUGCUCAGAGCGGGCUGUUCAAGCUUGCAUACGAUAAGCAUGGAAUGAUGGAAGAGGGCCUCGUCUACGUCUGUCGGUCUCCGUCUACGGCGAGGCAAUGAUCGAAGGGAGCGGUCGGGGCCACUCGUAUUGCGACGUUAGAGGUGAAAUUCUUGGAUCGUCGCAAGACGAACUGCAGCGAUGGCGUGUGGCAAGCACGUUUUCCUCGAUCAAGAGCGAAAGUCGGAGGUUCGAAGACGAUCAGAUACCGUCGUAGUUCCGACCGUAAACGAUGCCGACCGGCGAUCCGCCGGCGUUCGCUUCCAUGACCCGGCGGGUAGCCUGCGGGAAACCAGAGUUCGGUUCCGGGGGGAGUAUGGUUGCAAAGCUGAAACUUAAAGGAAUUGACGGAAGGGCACCACCAGGAGUGGAGCCUGCGGCUUAAUUUGACUCAACACGGGAAAACUCACCCGGUCCGGACACCGGUAGGAUUGACAGAUCGAUAGCUCUUUCUCGAUUCGGUGGGUGGUGGUGCAUGGCCGUUCUUAGUUGGUGGAGCGAUCCGUCUGGUUGAUUCCGAUAACGAACGAGACUCCGGCCUGCUAACUAGUGCGCCGAUGUCAGUGCGGCGCCGCAUCCCGGCGUCGUGUGCGGGCUCGUCGGCGAUUUUUGAUCGUCUCUCGUGUCCGGGUCGGUUUCUCACGCACUUCUUAGAGGGACGGGUGGCAGAAAGCCACACGAGGCGGAGCGAUAACAGGUCUGUGAUGCCCUUAGAUGUCCGGGGCCGCACGCGCGCUACACUGGAGGUAUCAGCGGGGACUUCGCCCCGGCCCGAGAGGGUCGGGAAACCUCUCAACCACCUCCCGUGAUAGGGAUCGGGGCCUGUAACCAACCCCGUGAACGAGGAAUUCCCGGUAGGCGCGGGUCAACAGCCCGCGUCGAUCACGUCCCUGCCCUUUGUACACACCGCCCGUCGCUACUACCGAUCGAACGGUCCGGUGAGGUCCUCGGAUCUGGCCGACGACGCCGCCGGGUUGCGGAGUGCUCGCCUCGCGCGGGUCUUCACGCCUCGGCGUUCGAUGCCUGGAGAAGACGACCGAACCCGAUCGUUUAGAGGAAGUAAAAGUCGUAACAAGGUUUCCGUAGGUGAACCUGCGGAAGGAUCAUUA
RNAcentral lists this ribosomal RNA (2277 nucleotides) under Egea inermis. Its description in RNAcentral is "SSU rRNA". Lineage: Eukaryota; Metazoa; Mollusca; Cephalopoda; Oegopsida; Cranchiidae. The record is from RNAcentral.